CCUGCCCAUUGAAUAAUUUAAAAGGCCGCGGUAUAUUAACUGUGCAAAGGUAGCAUAAUCAUUAGUUUUUUAAUUGAAGGCUUGUAUGAAGGGUUGGACAAAGAGUAGUCUGUUUUUAUUUUUAUUUUUGAAUUUAACUUUUAAGUGAAAAGGCUUAAAUAAAUCUGAGGGACGAUAAGACCCUAUAAAUCUUUAUAUUAAAUUAUUUUUAGUUAAUUAAUAUUGUGAACAUAAUAAUAAAGUAAGGAAAUAUUGUGUUGGGGUGAUGAGAAUAUAAAUAAUAACUGUUCUAAAAUUAAAACAAAAUUAUUUGUAAGUAAUAAUAGAUCCUUUAUUGAGAUUAAAAGUUUAAGUUACUUUAGGGAUAACAGCGUUAUUUUUUUUGAGAGUUCUUAUCGAAAAAAAAGUUUGCGACCUCGAUGUUGAAUUAAAAUUUCUUUGUGGUGUAGCUGUUACAAGAGAGAGUCUGUUCGACUUUUAAAGGAGUCUGGGCA
Molecule: ribosomal RNA, 494 nt
Filed under: Scolonida gracilis
Lineage: Eukaryota; Metazoa; Arthropoda; Malacostraca; Decapoda; Munididae
Description: Munida gracilis partial 16S ribosomal RNA
Rfam family: Bacterial large subunit ribosomal RNA
Source: RNAcentral